Podarcis lilfordi (Lilford's wall lizard) is the source of this 77-nucleotide non-coding RNA. The record is from the annotation of a GenBank genome assembly. Lineage: Eukaryota; Metazoa; Chordata; Lepidosauria; Squamata; Lacertidae.
CCACCCGCGUCUAUAUAUAUAUGUAUAUGUGUAUAUAUAUAUAUAUAUAUAUAUAUAUAUAUACACACACAGUGGUA